Danio rerio (zebrafish) is the source of this 391-nucleotide non-coding RNA. NCBI's taxonomy places the organism in Eukaryota, Metazoa, Chordata, Actinopteri, Cypriniformes, Danionidae. The record is from Ensembl.
AGAGCUCUAUCGGAUAACGCACCUCUCUGCCUCAGGAGAUGGAAGUCGAGGAACAAAUUACACCGCGUUCUUGCAACUGUCUUCAUAGACAGAAAGGAAAUAUGGAGAAAACUAUUCACAGAUGGCAAUGCUGGAGAUCUGAUAGCCUUAGUCAAACAGGUCUCAACUAUCUUUUGAUUGAAUAUUGAAAUUUGACAGAUUUUCAAGUUCAUUGACACUGAUGUAAAUGCAGGAGUAAAGGAGCUAGGCAAAUUUCAAAUAUAUUAUAUUGCAAGCAACACCCCGGACUCAUUAGAAAGAAGUGUGCAGUGUCCUUUAACAGACUCAACUCAGACUGGCAACACAACUAGUUUGCUGACGCUGCUUGAAGAAAAGCCUCUUCAAUCCUGAG